RNAcentral lists this ribosomal RNA (252 nucleotides) under uncultured bacterium. Its description in RNAcentral is "partial 16S ribosomal RNA". It matches the Rfam family "Bacterial small subunit ribosomal RNA", at positions 524 to 776 of the family's 1533-position model. The record is from RNAcentral.
UACGUAGGGUGCAAGCGUUGUCCGGAAUUAUUGGGCGUAAAGAGCUCGUAGGCGGUUUGUCGCGUCUGCUGUGAAAACUCGAGGCUCAACCUCGGGCCUGCAGUGGGUACGGGCAGACUAGAGUGCGGUAGGGAGAUUGGAAUUCCUGGUGUAGCGGUGGAAUGCGCAGAUAUCAGGAGGAGCACCAAUGGCGAAGGCAGAUCUCUGGGCCGUAACUGACGCUGAGGAGCGAAAGCGUGGGGAGCGAACAGG